CAGAGCUAUUUUUCUAGAAGUGCUUGGGAAAUCCAUUAACAAAAAAAAAUCCAACCUACUUUUCCAUUCUUUCCCAGGAAAAGCACUGGCCCACCAGAUGAAAAUCCAUAUCUGCAAACAAGAGCAAUAAAAACUUCCCUUUCCUUGCCAAGAUAACAACUGGUCAGGAGCCCUGUCUCAUUCUAAUGACUCUUCAAGUUGCUUAAACGACUUGCUAUUACCAGCUACAAACAGGAACUAGAGCUCGAGUCAAUAGGCAGGAAGGCGAGGGAGGGGAAGUCGGCAAGGGAGUCCGGAGUCAUUUUGAUUAUGCAGCAGGACUGGAAGAAGAGGAGCAGCCCAGGCUGGCAGGCAGCUUAGCUGUUUGGAAGAGCUGCAUGGGAAGUCAACCCUUUCUCAAGACUUAAGGGAGCCACCUGCAAAGUAUCUCCUUCAUU
Long non-coding RNA from Phascolarctos cinereus (koala), 437 nucleotides. The record is from Ensembl. Lineage: Eukaryota; Metazoa; Chordata; Mammalia; Diprotodontia; Phascolarctidae.